GAGUAACACGUGAGUAACCUGCCCCGGACUCUGGGAUAAGCAUUCGAAAGGGUGUCUAAUACUGGAUAGGACUCCUGCCUGCAUGGGUGGGGGUGGAAAGAUUUUUUGGUUCGGGAUGGGCUCGCGGCCUAUCAGCUUGUUGGUGGGGUGAUGGCCUACCAAGGCUUUUAUGGGUAGCCGGCCUGAGAGGGCGACCGGCCACACUGGGACUGAGAUACGGCCCAGACUCCUACGGGAGGCAGCAGUGGGGAAUAUUGCGCAAUGGGCGGAAGCCUGACGCAGCAACGCCGCGUGCGGGAUGACGGCCUUCGGGUUGUAAACCGCUUUCACCCAUGACGAAGAUUUUUUUGACGGUAGUGGGAGAAGAAGCACCGGCCAACUACGUGCCAGCAGCCGCGGUGAUACGUAGGGUGCGAGCGUUGUCCGGAAUUAUUGGGCGUAAAGAGCUUGUAGGCGGUUUGUCGCGUCGGAAGUGAAAACUCGGGGCUUAACUUCGAGCUUGCUUCCGAUACGGGCUGACUAGAGGAAGUUAGGGGGAGACGGAAUUCCUGGUGGAGCGGUGGG
RNAcentral lists this ribosomal RNA (564 nucleotides) under uncultured Actinomycetes bacterium. RNAcentral's name for it is "bacterial SSU rRNA". It matches the Rfam family "Bacterial small subunit ribosomal RNA", at positions 108 to 685 of the family's 1533-position model. Lineage: Bacteria; Bacillati; Actinomycetota; Actinomycetes. The record is from RNAcentral.